UAUUUUCAUACUAAUAUAAAGAGAGACAGACUAUCAAUAUAGAGAGAGAUAAUCAGAUAACUAUCAAAACUCAAAAGAGACCGUACCCACUAUCCACUACCCACCAUCUCCUUCCGCCUCCUUCCUCCCUCUUCCAACUCUGUAUUUGUUUGAACCCUAUCGAAACUCCCUUUUUGAUCUAUUCUUGUACAAAGUCCGGGUUGUUAAAUUUGUUGUUCUUGUAUGAUUAGUAGAGGGUAAUUGUGUACUUGAUGAAGGAGUUAUGAUCUGAGGGGUGGCUCUAUUUUGGUUGGGGGUUACCGAUCUUGAUUCUUAAUGGUUAUGUGUUGGUGUUAGUUUUGAAAGGAGGUUUCUCCAGAUCUGAGUUUCUUUUUCAGAUCUCUUAUGGAGCUUGCCGGAAUUUGGGUUUUGCUCUACUCAUCUCCGAUGGUUUUAUGAAUUAUGGAUUGAUCCAUGUCGAUCUGGGUUCAUGCUACACCUACUGCCUAUCAUGUUCAUGCUCUGAUUUGGGUUUGCUAUUUUUGGUUGUAAUCUCAAGUUUUUCAUCUCAAUUCGAAUUGCCGAAUUGAUAAUGAUGAUGAAGUACCGCAUAUAUGGUGAAAUUCUGUUAUUAUUCCAUUCUUUAUUAUUAUGUUGGAAUAUCCUGUCUGUGCGUUUUACGCCGGACCUGAUUCUGUUAUUUAUUAUUAUGUUGGAAUAACUUGUCUAUGCGAAGUACCGCAUGCAUGGUGAUUUCUGUUGUUAUUUCAUUCUUUAUUAUUCUGUUGGAAUAUCCUGUCGGUGCGUAUUACGCCUGACCUGGUUCCGUUAUUUAUUAUUCUGUUGGAAUAACCUGUCCAUGCGAAGUACCGCAUGCAUGGUGAUUUCUUUUGUUAUUCCAUUCUUUAUUAUACUCAGUUGGUUAAAUUUUUACCUUCUAUACUCCAUGAAAUUAGUGGAAUAUCCUUGAUAUUUGCGCUUCAUCCAGUAUCUUUUCAUGGAAAUAUUCUUCUGAGCAUUCUUGAAUUUUACUCUACAAAGCAGUAUCAUGUUGACAAUUUGGACGUUAUUAGUUCCUGGAUAAAUUAAUUCUUGAACUUGUUUUAUUGAAUUCUUAUAUCAUUGUCAUCAUCCUCAUGUUUAUAUUUUGUUGAAAGUCAUAUGUGGCCUGUAGUGCAUAGAUGGACUUGGUAUGAUUAUGACCAGGGAUUAUUCGGUGUAAUCAUGACCGUAAUGUUACAAAUGAUGUGGUAAAAGUCAUCAUUGGUCCAUAGUGCAUUGAUGGACAGUUGUUGGCAUGAUCAUGACCAUUAAUGAAUAUACAAAUAUCUUUGGCCCGUAGUGCAUGGAUAAUUUGUGGUUGUGAUACUAAUGAAUAUCCUUGGCCGUAGUGCAUGGAUGAUGUGGAUUAUUUAUUAAGCUGAGUCCCAGCGAUAAAAGUGAUGAAAACCUUUUAAAUCAUAAAAGAUAGUAGAUUUUAUUCUCUACUUGAUUCUUUUAAUGGAUUGCAUGUUCCGCUGCAGUUAAACUUGAUGUCUAUUGUAUUUUAUCAAUUUAACACUGUUGAAGACUAAUAAUAAUUUAUUCUGCAUUAUCUUAGUCAUAAUAUUUCUUACUGGGCUAGUUGAGCUCACCCUUUCUUUCACUGUUUUCUUCAGGAAAUGAGAACGUAGCCGGGACUAGUCGGGGAACGGAGUGACGGUCCAGAUAAUAGUAUUAGUAGUCCUCACUAUUCUGUUAGUGUGUUAAUAAAUAUAAUGAGGGCUUAUUCUGAGAGUGGAUAUUGUCUAGAAGACAAUAGUUGUAUUAAAACUCAUAGCUCUCUUGUUGUAUAUUAAAGAUUGUAUUUGUAUUCUGUACCAUAUAUUUGACGACUCAGAAUAGGUGAUGUAUACCUAUUUUGGGGGCAUCACAGCAUAGACAGAUUAUUCCAACAUAAUAAUAAAGAAUGGAAUAACAGAAGAAUUUCACCAUGUAUGCGGUACUUCGCAUAGACUGAUUAUUCCAACCUAAUAAUAAAGAAUGGAAUAACAGAAGUUGUAAGACCCCG
RNAcentral lists this long non-coding RNA (2029 nucleotides) under Panax ginseng (ginseng). Its description in RNAcentral is "long non-coding RNA (PGIN_LNC007392)". The record is from RNAcentral. Lineage: Eukaryota; Viridiplantae; Streptophyta; Magnoliopsida; Apiales; Araliaceae.